Physcomitrium patens is the source of this 1644-nucleotide non-coding RNA. Lineage: Eukaryota; Viridiplantae; Streptophyta; Bryopsida; Funariales; Funariaceae. The record is from RefSeq and is a predicted model, not a curated record.
AGGCCGCAAUAUUACAACCUACCCAUCCCUCUUCCCGAGCUUUCCUCCAGCCCCGAAAUUGUCAAAGAUACUUACCUCCAGUCUUGAGUCCAGAUUAUCUCUGCCGGCGUGCAUUUAUCCUCCAUAAGCGUCGCAUCCGUUUGUGUUUAUGUUUUUUUCCAGCAGGAAUUCAUCAGCAUUGUGUUCGUUUUCUUUUGUCUCUUCGGUGUCAUGAUAGGGCAGCAGUAGAAAUGUUGGAAUGUGGGAAGCGAAGAGUGUCAGACUGGCAUCCAAAAUGGCGCCCCUAACGCAGAGCCCUUUGUGGUGGCAAUCCUGAUAACUUUGAAGGAAAAACACAACCAUUCAUCACAAAGGAGAGGGAUCAUUCCUGCAGUUUACUGUCACCCCCCGCAUGGGUGUGCGUCGCAGUGGUAGAUUUCACACAUGUGGUCAUUGUCUCCUCCACAUUCUUGUUCCCACCCUCUUGUCCCAACUGUGAAGCAGCAACACCAGGGGAUGCUCAUUGCUGUGCGCAAGCUGCCAACGACUUCAUUGAAGGCGGGUUUCAGGAAAGCCAUAAAAAAUGCGGGGUGUGGUGCGGUGGGCCCAUGCAACUGGUGAUGACUAGCACUGUGAUGCAUGCGCAAAUUGGGUAGAGAAUUAUUUUACAGCAGCAGGAAUCAAGUGGAAUCGCAGGGUACAAAUGCUGCGGAGGCUCUGUGGUAAACGUGGUACUCGAGAGCAUGCCCACUCAAUCCCUCACUUGCCAGUAGGUGUAAUCUUGCGAUUACUGUUCAGAUUUUUGCCGGUGUGGAAAGCGUGUACUUCAUGCAGAUUCCAGGGAGAAAGCUAACUUUGAAAGGAACCUCAGUUUAAGUUUCUCAUGGGGAAGUUACUCGUCGCAGCUUGUAAGUUACUGACGACAAUGACGGUGGGCAAACGGACUCUUUCAAUUACCAUGUGUUGGAGGACAAUUAUGAACAAGUUUUUACAGACGGAAUGUUACAUAGGAGAAGACUGACGGUGUUCGGUCCGUGCUCUACAAUUUCUACACGCCUUAACGUAGUACAUGGACAACGAGGUUGGUAGUGGUGGUGAUUUUGAUUCAGGAUUAGCGCUCAAAGUGGAGCUGCACAGAGGCUGAUUAGUCAAAGAACGCAUAUGAUUCCUUUAAACCAGCCUGUGAGGGCAAGUGGUGGAAAUCCGGCCAUCAUACAUAUCUGGAAAGGAUCCAGGAUGCGAAGAGGCGCGAAGGAUCCUCAAAAGCAUCGCCUGGUCGUCGCAUAAAUAUAAUUGCCAGAAAAUUAUUUACACUUUUUCGACCCAGCAAAAGCAGCAUCAAAAGAAGGUUGUUAUCAGAAUCACGAAGAUAAGGAGGUGGCAGUUAUUUCUGUUGUGACAAUAGUAAAGGCGGAGCGAAUCCUGGCGGAGCUGGGGCGCUAGAACAUUCUCAUCUACGCCUCGGCUGGCUCCCCGAUUUCAGCCCCCCUCUCUUUUUCUUUCCCCUCCCAAUUAUUUCAUGCAAACUUACUGUGGCCGUAAUAAUCACCGAACUUCGCACCUCUAUUGUCCAAAUCGGUCCCCUCCGCUCUCUUCUUGUUGAUUCAAACAAUAAUAUUUAUUAAAAAACCCAAAGUAAUCUAAAGAAAGAUUCUCCCUUGCUUU